Molecule: transfer RNA, 76 nt
Filed under: Martinezella lusitana
Lineage: Bacteria; Pseudomonadati; Pseudomonadota; Alphaproteobacteria; Hyphomicrobiales; Rhizobiaceae
Description: Rhizobium lusitanum tRNA-Phe
Source: RNAcentral
GUCUCACCGCUCUGGACCAGUGCGCGAUAGAAGGAAAUCGCUAUCGUCGGGGGUUCGAGUCCCUCCGGGACCGCCA